CCCUUAGACGUUCUGGGCCGCACGCGCGCUACACUGAACAGUUCAACAAGUCUUAACCUUGGCCGAUAGGUCUGGGUAAUCUUUGAACGCUGUUCGUGAUUGGGAUAGACCUUUGCAAUUAUGGGUCUUCAACGAGGAAUUCCUAGUAAACGCAAGUCAUCAGCUUGCAUUGAUUACGUCCCUGCCCUUUGUACACACCGCCCGUCGCACCUACCGAUUGAAUGGUCCGGUGAAAUCUCGGGACGGCGGCUCGGUCGCUUGCGUCCGACUGCUGAAACUUGAUUAAACCAUAUCAUUUAGAGGAAGGUGAAGUCGUANCA
RNAcentral lists this ribosomal RNA (320 nucleotides) under uncultured eukaryote. RNAcentral describes it as "partial 18S ribosomal RNA". It matches the Rfam family "Eukaryotic small subunit ribosomal RNA", at positions 1470 to 1796 of the family's 1831-position model. The record is from RNAcentral.